CAGUAGCCGCGGGAAUACGUAGGGUGCGAGCGUUAAUCGGAAUUACUGGGCGUAAAGCGUGCGCAGGCGGUUAUAUAAGACAGAUGUGAAAUCCCCGGGCUCAACCUGGGACCUGCAUUUGUGACUGUAUAGCUAGAGUACGGUAGAGGGGGAUGGAAUUCCGCGUGUAGCAGUGAAAUGCGUAGAUAUGCGGAGGAACACCGAUGGCGAGGGCAAUCCCCUGGACCUGUACUGACGCUCAUGCACGAAAGCGUGGGGAGCAAACAGGAUUAGAUACCCCUGUAGUCCCUGUCUCUUAUAC
RNAcentral lists this ribosomal RNA (301 nucleotides) under uncultured bacterium. RNAcentral's name for it is "partial 16S ribosomal RNA". It matches the Rfam family "Bacterial small subunit ribosomal RNA", at positions 509 to 807 of the family's 1533-position model. The record is from RNAcentral.